CGUUGCUGUGCCUUAGUGCGCAUGCGCGAAAUGUGUGCAUUCACUACUGGGGGUGUUCGCUCCUCGGCGCGACGGAAGACGACAGGUGUGGCGGUUCAUUAACACAGCGUUGUUCUCAUCCAACAUAUACUAAAACAUAUUAAAAAGAAAACGGUUUCUUCAUCCAUGGAGACACGCAACGUACAGAAACAUCAACGUUAUGAGGACUCCACCUUCCCCAUGUUGGAUUCUAAUGACCAGAUGACGCAGCAGAGCAUGAGGAGGGAUCCACAGGACGUGGUGCAUGUAAACAACAGAGGGAACAAGCGACGUCUCCAAAGUCGAUGAUGGUCCGUUUUCUGCCUGACCCAACAGCUGGGUUGUGGGUGUCAGCUGGAUUAUUCAUCUUCUCUGUGCAUAAUUGGGAUGAGCGGAGCCUCUGUGCUUCUGUGCUCUGGGCAGCAAGAAUCCCGAUACAAACCCAUCAUUCAGAAGAAUAAAGAAACUCUGAUUCCGGCUCCGGCCACAAGGCUCAGAUGUCAGCUGUAGCGGGUACAUGACGGGGGUCUGUGAGAAGAAUGCAGCGGGGGAUUAACAGGCUCAUUUAAUCUGACUCCAUGAAUGGAUGAAGAGGAGGGAAGGGAGAGGGGUAAACAGGUCUAUGCUCAGGGUGUGUGUGUGUGUGUGUGUGUGUGUGUUGUCACUGUAAUAGAAUCUGAUCUUCCCGACAGCUUCAGGAAAAUGGAAAAUAGUUUGAGUUACAAACGUUCCCUACACGUUUUAAAUGACAGGAAGCAUUAUUCAGUAGACAAAGGUGCAUCAGUGACACAAACAUAGCGUCUCUUCUCCUCUGAGACAGCAGAGAGCGAACGCAAACUGACUCAUGCUUUACGUUUCUUACACACGGGCGCUACAGAGAGAUUUUCUUUCAAUGCAGAAAGACGCUGAAGACAAAAUAUAGAGCAAGACAUUAAAAAUGAACAGGAAUUAAGUUCUGCAUCCAUUAAAACAAACAAUAGAAAAGAAAGGACGGUCGGUAUAUUUAAAGCUGCCAUGAAAAACUAUAUCUUCAAAUAUGUGCCUGAUAAAAAAAAAAAAAAGUAAAUGUAUGUAUCACCCUGAAAAUACUGUAAUAUGCUGUAAAAACAGUCUCCGUAUGUAA
Labrus bergylta (ballan wrasse) is the source of this 1141-nucleotide non-coding RNA. The record is from RefSeq and is a predicted model, not a curated record. Lineage: Eukaryota; Metazoa; Chordata; Actinopteri; Labriformes; Labridae.